This 1061-nucleotide long non-coding RNA is filed under the name Felis catus (domestic cat). RNAcentral describes it as "lncRNA (ENSFCAG00000052964.1)". Lineage: Eukaryota; Metazoa; Chordata; Mammalia; Carnivora; Felidae. The record is from RNAcentral.
AUGCUUUUUACGCGUCCAUCAGAAGAAAGAGGGAUGAGAAAGCCAAGAAAUCAGCGAUGGCAGGCUUGCCUCAGACUCCUUCAAGUCAAUCCCCGAUUCCCCACGCACCUAUCGAGAACCUACCCCAUGCAUGCAGAGAGGCAGGAGGAGAAGAUGACCCACACAUGGUCCCCGCAGGUGGGGUUCGCUGCUCGUGACCGGGGCCCACAUCCAGCCUCUUUCUCCCGUGGCUCCCCAGCACCCCUCCCCCAUACCAGCCUAGUUCAUGGAAUGCAGAAGGUAAGGACUAUGGGGUGGAGCAGACUUGGAUUAAAGACUGGCUUCAUCACUCUGUGGCUUGUGACACCUUAAUGAGGAGAUUCAACCUCUCUGAACCUCGGUUUCCUCAUCUGGAAAAUGGAAGUAACAGUGGAAUAUCAUGUAUCAAUCAUCCUCUGCUCCAUCUAUGCCACACUCUGCCGCUCAUGUAUUUAAAGAGAAGAAAGAAAAAGAUUUUAAAAAUCAUGUCGUACUCCGAUUAUUUAGCAGACCUGGUUCUAAAUACUCAGACUAUAAAGAUAAAUCAGACACGGGCCUUGCCUUCCAAAAGCUUACGGCCUCACAGGGGAGUCGGGUGUAAAGAAAUUUCAUGCAAUCCUUACUCCACAAAGAGACAGUAAGCAGUUCUGUCCAAUUCCAGGGCUCACACACCAUCGCAAGCCCCAUGUUCUCUUGCCCUGGCCACUGAGCUGCCUCCUAGCUGGUCUCCCAGGUCCCUCUCUGCCCCUCCUGCAGCGUAUUCUCGACAAAGCAGCCAGCAUGAGUCUUUCAAAACAUCAGCCACCUGGUGGCUUUCUGAGGUGCCUGGGUGGCUGAGUCAGUUAGGUGUCCGACUUCGGCUCGGGUCAUGAUCUCGCAGUUUUUGAGUUCGAGCCCCGCGUCGGGCUCUGUGCUGACAGCUCAAAGCCUGGAGCCUUCUUUGGAUUCCGUGUCCCCUUCUCUCUUCGUCCCACCCCUGCUUGUGCUCUGUCUCUGUGUCUUUCAAAAAUGAAUAAAGGUUAAAAAAAAAAAAAAAAAAAACA